CUCUUCCUCAGCUUGGGAGACAAGUUCUUUUUCGACACUGACUUUCAAUUCACUUUCUGCCACUGUAGUGGCAACAGGCCCAUCUUGCAGAUUCCUUUCCUUGGUACGUGUAGGUGUAUUUUCCUUAGCCCAGAGUGCCAUCUCCACAACAUCUAUUCCAACUACUUUGGGCAGACGGCCAAGUACAUCUUUGCAGAUGUUUAAGAUGCAAAAUAUAAGACGGUUCCUAUCAUCAACGUUGCGCAUAGUCCACUGAGGUGGAGUAACACUCUGGCUUCUAAGGUUAUCAAAUCCCAGGGUAAAUGUACAUCCACUAGGAUCAUUAGUUAUAACCUCCACCUUUGAAAGAUGCUUCAGCUUGUAUAACUUUGCAGGCUCAAGGACUCCUC
Molecule: unclassified non-coding RNA, 389 nt
Filed under: Hevea brasiliensis (rubber tree)
Lineage: Eukaryota; Viridiplantae; Streptophyta; Magnoliopsida; Malpighiales; Euphorbiaceae
Source: RNAcentral